Long non-coding RNA from Rosa chinensis, 1632 nucleotides. RefSeq lists it as uncharacterized. The transcript has 4 exons. Lineage: Eukaryota; Viridiplantae; Streptophyta; Magnoliopsida; Rosales; Rosaceae. The record is from RefSeq and is a predicted model, not a curated record.
CUCACGCCAGUCUCCACAGUGUCCAAACUCCAGAGUAGAGUAGAGAAGAGAGCACUCAUCCUCAAAAAUGAGUUCUUUCAAGUCAAAAUGGAGUUUUGUGAUUCCUCUAUCUUUUUGGCUCCAGUCCUAUUUCCAAAAUCUUACCAAAGAAGUGAUGAAACAAGAAAUGGAAAUAGCUACCAGAUUGGUUGCUCGUAAGGAGGAAUACGAGAGAAUGUUGGAGAAUGUUAGAAUGUUGGAGGAUGUUAAGGAGAAGUUGGAAAAGGAUGAAACAAGUGAAAUGGCAGAAGCUUCAUUUUGGGAUCACUGGGGUGUUACAAGCAUCUGAGGAACCCAGGUGAUGAAGGUUCAAGCCUUGGAUGCGUGUUCGAUGUGAAUUGUUUCGAGUCAUAACUUUAGAGAUGUAGGACAGAAAUAGUUGUUAGAUAACUGCUUAAACCUGGACAAUACUAAUGUGGUUGAUAUGAGGGCAAACACUUGUUAUGUAGUAAGUGCUUUAUGUGGCUGAUAUGAAUGCUUACUUUUGUGCAAAGACUCGUUAUGGUGUUAAUAUCGUUUUGAAAUGUUGCUUGUGCUGAAACCUGAAAUGAAAUGUCUCUGUUGAAAGUGUGUGGUCAUAUGCAUUUUGCAAAUUUUUGUCCCUCUUCAAAUCUGGAGUCUAAUGAUGUAUGCGUAGUUUGAGUCAAUUGUUGACAUGUUUGAUUCAACAUAGAGUAGAUUACAUAAGAAUAACCAGCCGACUUUUGUUACAAACACUUGAGUUUCUCUCGUACUUCACAGUAAUGUCAUGAGAAGAAAGUAGAGGUCAUAGGGCUGUCCAAUCGACGUCCAAAAUAGUUUACUAUGGAGUCUUUCCCUAUCUGUAAUGUUUUUUUUUUUUUUGAAAUAGAAGGUUCAUUGCAUUAGAUGACCAACUAAAAAGCCAGAGUCUACAUACCCUUAAAGACAGAAAAAUGGCGGGAUAACAGCCAAGUUCCUAUCUAUAAUGUUGUUUUAAGGGAAGUUGGAAAGUUUCAGUUGUUGUUUAAGGGAACUCGAUUUUGUUUAUCUUACCUUUUUUUUUUAGCUUCAUACCAUUUGUUUUUGGUAUGACUAUGCAAGAGUUUGAAGGGUUGUUUUGCUUCAAAAGAUGGAGCUCAGACACUGACGAACUUCAUGAACCAUGAGUGUGUAGCGAUAAUCAGCAGUUUCCAGCUUUGCAUAGUUAAGUCAUCUUUUCAGAAUGCAUAGCAAGUUGAUUUACAGAGAAGCUCCAGUGGCAACUGAAGCAAGCCUCAGGUGGCUUUUGUUCUGGUAAGCUCUCAUGUUGUCCUUCCCAUGUCAAGUGGUCUUUAUAUAGCUGGGACAUAUUAAUAAUUUUAUUUUUAAUUAAUUAACAUUUAGACGUACUUAUGUAGACAUUUUUUGCCUCAUUAGUCUACAUGGCCUCUGUUCCUCAAUAUUUCUGGUCAAGGAAAAGCUCUCUUGUUUGUUUGGCCACAAAGUACCAAUUAAAUAUAUUGAUGAAUGGAUUACCAUAUUGAUAGACAGUUCUAUGGGUUUAGUUUGAUUGAAGUCAAAGUUAUUAAGUAGUCCCAAAUGGAUCCCAUCUUCCAAAUCAAGGAUUCAUCAAAGAUGAGGGAAAGAACUGGA